Long non-coding RNA from Protopterus annectens (West African lungfish), 2120 nucleotides. RefSeq lists it as uncharacterized. The transcript has 2 exons. The record is from RefSeq and is a predicted model, not a curated record. NCBI's taxonomy places the organism in Eukaryota, Metazoa, Chordata, Ceratodontiformes, Protopteridae.
GUCCAACAGCUCAGGGUUUGACAUGGCCUUGUUAAGUAGAGAUCACCUCUGAGUAGACAAUAUGCCACAGAGUAUAGCUGGAGUUUUUUAGACGGUCAGUAUAUGGCAUCUGCUUUACCUCCUAUAAGACAGCUGAUAGAUGAUUAGUUUUACAAUGCUUCAUUGUGCAAUAAAUUUCACAUCUCAUUAUUUAAAUUAAAGCAGAAUUAGCUGUUGUCAUUGUCUGUCCAUUGUUAUUUCUCACAUGCUUCAGAAUUCGAGCCUUUUUACUGCAAAAUAUUAUUAAAUAUAUUUAUUCAUCUGCUCAUGUUAUCUUGUAAAAACUGGUCACACCAAGGCUAUGAAGAGCUAUUCUCAGGGGUCACUGGUAUGCUGCCAAGAGAAUAACAUAUCUUUUUUCCAGUAAAUGCCAUGAGAUGUUUAGCACUCACCUAAGUUACCCCCAGCUAAGGUAGAUUAGACCUCUGCUUUAUGUUUCAGCCAUCAGGCACAUCAUGAGUUCAGCACCCCCCAAUGUUGUUCUGUAGUGUCAGUACUGGAACGUGUUUCCAAGUAACUGUGUGUCAAGAGACCCCCCCCCCCCCAGCAGUCUGAUUUUGCUACCAUCAAAAGAAAGGGUACUAACUGUAAGAGUAAUAACUGAAAACAAUACCCAUGCUGCAGUUUCCUGCACAUUAAAUUUAAUUUCAUAGGUACAAACAUUAAAACAUAAGAAUGAACAGUACUUUAAAUAGUUCAGAGACAGUGCUGGUUUGUCAAUUACUUGACCACUUGUAAGGCAGAUAUGUAUUCUUUGCUGAAGAGCUGUAUGGACAGAAUUUGCACCAUGUUUUUAACUUAGAGUCACAAUACUGUUUUAAGUACUGUACUAGCAUUUUAUUUUUAUUGACAAUUUACACUGCUAACUGCCAGGUGAAGUGGCCUUAUGACAACUGUUUGACAACAUUUUCUUUCAGCAUUUCAGCAUUCUGUUGAGUUAGUUUGCUAAUGACAUUCUAUAUGUAUUCUAGGGAUACUUUAACUUCUUUGUGCAUUAUUUUCUUUAUGGCUUGUGCCAUAAGAUCUGUAAUAGUACUACAUUUACCUGAUGCUUGUUGUGCCAUUUAGAGUUUUUCAUUAGUAUGCAUAUAUUUCUCAUAUUCUGAUUUCUGCAGAACUCUAUAAUCAAUUGUAAUUCAUUGAUUAUUAUGUUAGCAAUUCUGUUUCUGACCUGCCUAUGAUGGCUUUAUCAGCUAAGUGAUAGAAAUGGAACUCCUAAAUGAAAUAUUGCUCUCAAAACUGUUAAUCAGAGGUUCUAGAGUAUAUGAUACAUGUUACAGAAUCUACACUUAUGUUAAGAGCUGCAGCAAGUUUACAACCAUGAAGAAGACUUGAUUUUUUAUAAAGCACAAAGGAGGCAGAGCUAUUACCAGUUGACAAAAUCAGAUCUAUUCACUCCCCAUCAGUACUAUUUACUUCUGUUUUCAAUGAGCAGAGUUACAGUGUUAAACUUAAGGUUGCUGGCAUGUGGGAUUUUAAAGUUUUGUCCUUAACCCCGAGAUAAAGCAAUCUUGGAUUUAAUACAUAUAGACUGGUAAAGGGUGUAGAAAGCUAGUGCACCACAUCUUGACUUGGGGGGGGGGGGGGGGGGCUUGUGUACCUGUAAAAGAACUUAUUUUAUUUUUUAUUUCAUCCAUUAGAGGUUUUUGUCAAUUAGUCCUGGCGAGCUGGGGAUUAAUGGGUUUUCCAAAGAUGGUUAAUUGUGGAUUCCCACAAGUAAUUCAGUGCCUCGGGUUUAAAAUACUAACCACGGAAAGGAGUUUAGACUUUUGGCAUCUGCAUACCAUGGCAGCUUUUUUGAUGACUGUAUGUGAACAUGUAUGUUUUAUAAAGAUUAUAUAAGUCUGAUGAUAAUAAUAAUAAACAAAGUCUGAUGAUAAUAAUAAUAAUAAUAAUAAUAAUAAAAGCAAUUUCUACUUGUGUAUUCAGUAAAUGUACUAUGUGUAUGUGGAUCUGUUUUUAAUGUACACCUGAGUAAGGGAAGCAAACCCUUUCAUAAUUCAUUUAUAAAAUGUAUCAAAAUAUGUACCAUAAGUCCAUUUGUCUGCUUUAGCACAAUAAAUUAUGCAGCUUUAAGAUGA